GGGGAUGUAGUUUCAAUUGGUAGAACAUGUGCUUUGCACGCAUGAAGAGUCGGUUCGAGUCCGGUCGUCUCCA
This 73-nucleotide transfer RNA is filed under the name Paenibacillus roseus. It matches the Rfam family "tRNA". Rfam says of the family: Transfer RNA (tRNA) molecules are approximately 80 nucleotides in length. Their secondary structure includes four short double-helical elements and three loops (D, anti-codon, and T loops). The record is from Rfam by way of RNAcentral. Lineage: Bacteria; Bacillati; Bacillota; Bacilli; Caryophanales; Paenibacillaceae.